RNAcentral lists this ribosomal RNA (236 nucleotides) under uncultured Actinomycetales bacterium. RNAcentral describes it as "partial 16S ribosomal RNA". It matches the Rfam family "Bacterial small subunit ribosomal RNA", at positions 96 to 334 of the family's 1533-position model. The record is from RNAcentral. Lineage: Bacteria; Bacillati; Actinomycetota; Actinomycetes; Actinomycetales.
UGGCGAACGGGUGAGUAACACGUGGGUAAUCUGCCCUGCACUCUGGGAUAAGCCUGGGAAACUGGGUCUAAUACUGGAUAUGACCUUUCUCCUUAUGGGGUUUGGUGGAAAGUUUUUCGGUGUAGGAUGAGCCCGCGGCCUAUCAGCUUGUUGGUGGGGUGAUGGCCUACCAAGGCGACGACGGGUAGCCGGCCUGAGAGGGUGAUCGGCCGCAUUGGGACUGAGAUACGGCCCAG